Molecule: ribosomal RNA, 465 nt
Filed under: Vreelandella stevensii
Lineage: Bacteria; Pseudomonadati; Pseudomonadota; Gammaproteobacteria; Oceanospirillales; Halomonadaceae
Description: partial 16S ribosomal RNA
Rfam family: Bacterial small subunit ribosomal RNA
Source: RNAcentral
CCUACGGGCGGCUGCAGUGGGGAAUAUUGGACAAUGGGCGAAAGCCUGAUCCAGCCAUGCCGCGUGUGUGAAGAAGGCCUUCGGGUUGUAAAGCACUUUCAGUGGGGAAGAAAGCCUUGGGGCUAAUACCCUCGAGGAAGGACAUCACCCACAGAAGAAGCACCGGCUAACUCCGUGCCAGCAGCCGCGGUAAUACGGAGGGUGCGAGCGUUAAUCGGAAUUACUGGGCGUAAAGCGCGCGUAGGCGGUCUGAUAAGCCGGUUGUGAAAGCCCCGGGCUCAACCUGGGAACGGCAUCCGGAACUGUCAGGCUAGAGGGCAGGAGAGGAAGGUAGAAUUCCCGGUGUAGCGGUGAAAUGCGUAGAGAUCGGGAGGAAUACCAGUGGCGAAGGCGGCCUUCUGGACUGACACUGACGCUGAGGUGCGAAAGCGUGGGUAGCAAACAGGAUUAGAUACCCGAGUAGUC